AACGAACGCUGGCGGCAUGCUUUACACAUGCAAGUCGAACGGCAGCGCCGGGUUUGGCCGGGCGGCGGGUGGCGAACGGGGGAGAAAUACACCUGAAUGUGCCCAGAAUCGCGGGAUGGGGUGGUGAAAGCCGGAAUAAUACUGCAUACGACCUGAUGGUGAAAGCGGGGGGGCUUCGGACCGCUUGCCAUGUUGGUGGCGGAGGGGCGAAUGGCUAGUUGGUGGGGUAAAGGGUUACCCAGGAGGAGAUCGGAAACUGGUCUGAAGGGACGGCCCGCCACCUGGGGAGUGAGAAAGGGCCCAGACUCCUGCGGGAGGCCGCAGUGGGGAAUUUUGGGCAAGGGGGGAAAGCCUAAUCCAGCAAUGCCGCGUGUGUGAUGAAGGCGUUCGGGUUGGAAAGCACUUUUGGCGGGAGCGAAAAGGACUGUGCUAAUACGACGGUUCAAUGACGGUACCGGGAGAAUAAGCACCGGCUAACUACGUG
This 484-nucleotide ribosomal RNA is filed under the name uncultured bacterium. RNAcentral describes it as "partial 16S ribosomal RNA". It matches the Rfam family "Bacterial small subunit ribosomal RNA", at positions 29 to 507 of the family's 1533-position model. The record is from RNAcentral.